This is a long non-coding RNA of Cyprinodon tularosa, 1596 nucleotides long. RefSeq lists it as uncharacterized. NCBI's taxonomy places the organism in Eukaryota, Metazoa, Chordata, Actinopteri, Cyprinodontiformes, Cyprinodontidae. The transcript is spliced from 2 exons. The record is from RefSeq and is a predicted model, not a curated record.
CAUUACUACAACAAGGUUUUCUUGGUUUUGAGUGACUAGCCUUCUACAGGGGAGGAUUCCAGCUAUAGGUCUCCCGUUAUGGCAAUAAAGAAAAGAAAAAGAACUUUGCAAUUCAUCAACACACAGUUUGGAUCCGCAUCAGCCAUGGACACAUGAACGAUAUGCAAGGCCCAGGGGGCCAGGACAAGGAGCAGACUGACUGAACUCAAAUAUUAAGGGAGGUACAUCAAAGAGUAAUGAAAGGACAAGAGGACCAGCGAACUCUAGCUACACGUCAAAAGAAUGCAACUCCAAGGAGCGACCAGCAGAUGGACGACCGAGAGGACCAGAUGUGAUGAAAGCAUCACAGGGGGAAUGGGAUCCUUCUCCAAUUGAAUUAGAUAAGUCAAACACUACAUACUACAACAGGAUUGGAAUAAUAUGAAUAUUAUUUUCUAUGAUAAGUUGAUAUUUGCUGAUACGAACACUAAUUGUGGUUUUUCUGUCUUACUCAUUUUGAGGGGAUGGAUUGUAAAGACCUGUGACCCCAGGCAUAAGACUGCAAGCCUUCGACUUCCGCCUGAAAAAUACUAAAGGCGGGAACCGCUGAUCCUGUGUUCAUGUCUUUAAAAGCCAAGGACAGAGCCCUGAAGUGAAAGAACUAUAUUUUUGAUUUUUUUCAACAGGAAAGAAGACAACACAUCGAUUAUUCUUGUAUUCUGUAAAUAUAAACCUGAUGAUUGUAACAUGCCGUUGCUUUGCAUUAUAACCUGUAUUACUGUUUUAUUAUUUCACAUUGUAAACCAUCCAUAGCAGGCUGUUUAGAGGAGUACUGACUGACUGACUUCUGACUGACUUUUAUUAUUAAUUAUGAUACUUAGUAAUGGUUAGUUAAUGGUUUAAUUUAAAGGUUUGUAUCCCCCAACUUCCAUCCAUAUCAGGCUGUGUCCGUAACGUUAAUAUUUCGGGGUUUUUUUUCACUUAAACUUCACACACAUGUAAGUGCACUUAGUCGCGUAGUAUUCACAUCACCAUGUAACAUCACAAAGUAUUUCAUCUGCAAUGAACUACAGGGGGGAAUGUAGUAGCAGUUUGAUUGUCUUAUAUCAGAAAUCAGAAUAUAUCCUACAACAUGGCCCUAUACUUACUUAGCAACAAAACAGUACAUCUUCAAGUAUGAGUCUUAGCAAUAAUAAAGUCUCUAAUGCUGUAGAAUAUAAAUAUCUGGCUGGCUUGCCAAAUAUGGAAGCAGUUGUACUGCGUUGUUUAGUCCUGUUUCUGACCUUAUGCCCACUUAGCAACACAGAGAAUGCAACAUGUAAACACAGAGCAAGCAGGCUGGAAGUCACGUACAAGUCUUGGCAAAAACAGGGUCUUUAAGGCCCACUCGCACGCAAUCGGGUCACAGGACAAGAACUUCCAGGAAGUUCUUCAGAGCGUCCAGUCGUGCACGUGCAUCCACACAGUGCAUUGGGGAGCCUAUAAAAGGCCGCCCACAAUGGAUUGAAGGUGGGGAAAAAUUACAGAUGUGAGGACAUAGCGCUGAAUGUAUGAAGUGUUUAAGACAGCUGUAUGAAUUCGGUUUUGUAAAUAAAUGUUUCCCCCCUCCGGAUGACA